AAUAUUGGACAAUGGGCGGAAGCCUGAUCCAGCCAUGCCGCGUGUGUGAAGAAGGUCUUCGUAUUGUAAAGCACUUUAAUUUGGGAGGAAGGGUUUACACCUAAUACGGGUGAACUUUGAUGUUACCAAACGAAUAAUCACCGGCGAACUUCGAGCCGGCCGUCGCGGUAAUACGAAGGGUGCAAGCGAGAAUCGGAAUUACUGGGCGUAAAGCGCGCGUAGGUGGUUCGUUAAGUUGGAAGUGAAAGCCCCGGGCUCAACCUGGGAAUUGCUUUCAAAACUGGCGAGCUAGAGUACGGUAGAGGGUGGUGGAAUUUCCUGUGUAGCGGUGAAAUGCGUAGAUAUAGGAAGGAACAUCAGUGGCGAAGGCGACCACCUGGACUGAUACUGACACUGAGGUGCGAAAGCGUGGGGAGCAAACAGG
Molecule: ribosomal RNA, 424 nt
Filed under: uncultured bacterium
Lineage: Bacteria
Description: partial 16S ribosomal RNA
Rfam family: Bacterial small subunit ribosomal RNA
Source: RNAcentral